UAAGAUCAUGGCAAAGUAUGAAGGUUCUAGAAGACUUUGGAGAUAUCAAGAGCUUAGAGUUGACAUGAUUCAUGGCAGCUUAUGAAUACUCUAGAAUAAGAUAUUUAUAUGGUAGGAUAAGGACGAGAGAAAAUUUUAGAGUUAGAUAUUUAUAAAGAAGAGUAUGGAAGUUACCACAUGGCAACACCACAAGGAUCAUGAUCACCUAUAAAUCAUCUAAGGGGUUGUAUGUUCUCCCAAGUUCUGAGUACACCAUAAGCCCACCUGACUAGGGGUUGUAUGUCCUUCCAAGUUCUGAGUACACCAUAAGUCCACCUGACUAGGGGUUGUAUGUCCUCCCAAGUUCUGAGUACACCAUAAACCCACCUGACUGUACAACAUGAAAAUAAGUAGAGGUGCGCAUCGACUUUUAAAACUAAAAGGAUAGAAAAUAUUAGCGGCCACACCUUGCUUCCACAAACAAGAAUCACAAGUCACCCUGAAAAUUGAUAGAAGAAAAAAACAAUGUCAUUAAAAACAAAAGGAUUCAAAUGCUGCAAUGUUACGGAUAACACAUUUUUAUGGACAAACACCAUUUACCUUCAUAAGAGAUCACGUCUUCCUUGUUUUCAUCCUAUUUGGUGAUAGUGUCAAUGCUAACUUGGGGAAUUAUUUGCAGAGGCAUGGUCUUGCAUCUAUAACCACAUAACAUAAACAAGUAAGAACAAAUAUGUAUGUUCAAGAACCAAGUUCGAAUCUCAUAUUAGCCAAACUUACUCGAUCGGAACCUUCAAAACAACCCCAUGCAGUGGACAACCUAUAAAAGAGAACUUUCACUAACUAAUUUGUAAAGCAGAGAACAAUAUAUUUAAGAAACAAAAAAUCUUACAUUCCUUCUACGCCAUAUUCGAUGACAAUGGCUCAGAUUGACUUGGCAAUGUGUCUCUCAAGGCAUC
This 935-nucleotide long non-coding RNA is filed under the name Setaria viridis. RNAcentral's name for it is "long non-coding RNA (SVIR_LNC005072)". The record is from RNAcentral. Lineage: Eukaryota; Viridiplantae; Streptophyta; Magnoliopsida; Poales; Poaceae.